UUCGAUCUGGCUCAGAACGAACGCUGGCGGCGCGUUUAAGCAUGCAAGUCGAGCGGCAAGGGCCUUCGGGCCCCUAGAGCGGCGGACGGGUGAGUAACACGUGGACAAUCUGCCCCCCGGCCCGGGAUAGCCCAGGGAAACCUGGAUUAAUACCGGAUGAGACGGGACCCGCGAUGGCGGGAUCCGGGAAAGGCGCUGCGGCGCCGCCGGGGGAUGAGUCUGCGUCCCAUUAGCUGGACGGCGGGGUAACGGCCCACCGUGGCGACGAUGGGUAGCCGGCCUGAGAGGGUGGACGGCCACAUUGGAACUGAGACACGGUCCAGACUCCUACGGGAGGCAGCAGCUAAGAAUCUUCCGCAAUGGGCGAAAGCCUGACGGAGCGACGCCGCGUGAACGAAGAAGGCCGUGAGGUUGUAAAGUUCUUUUCGGGAGGGGGAACAACCGUGGCAGGGAAUGGCCGCGGGAUGACGUGAAUCCCGGAAUAAGCCCCGGCUAACUACGUGCCAGCAGCAGC
Molecule: ribosomal RNA, 514 nt
Filed under: uncultured bacterium
Lineage: Bacteria
Description: bacterial SSU rRNA
Rfam family: Bacterial small subunit ribosomal RNA
Source: RNAcentral